AGGACGAACGCUGGCGGCGCGCUUAACACAUGCAAGUCGAACGUGAAGCCCGGGCUUGCCCGGGUGGAAAGUGGCGAACGGGUGCGUAACACGUGAGCAACCUGCCCCGAAGACCGGGAUAACAGCGGGAAACCGCUGCUAAUACCGGAUGCCCUCAUCACACCGCAUGGCGAGAUGAGGAAAUGGAUUCCGCUUCGGGAUGGGCUCGCGGUCUAUCAGCUUGUUGGUGAGGUAACGGCUCACCAAGGCUACGACGGAUAGCUGGUCUGAGAGGAUGUCCAGCCACACUGGGACUGAGACACGGCCCAGACUCCUACGGGAGGCAGCAGUGGGGAAUCUUGCACAAUGGGCGAAAGCCUGAUGCAGCGACGCCGCGUGCGGGAUGACGGCCUUCGGUUGUAACCGCUUCAGCAGGGACGAUUAUGACGGUACCUGCAGAAGAAGCCCGGCCAACUACGCGCCACGCACGCCGCGGUAA
RNAcentral lists this ribosomal RNA (478 nucleotides) under uncultured bacterium. RNAcentral's name for it is "SSU rRNA". It matches the Rfam family "Bacterial small subunit ribosomal RNA", at positions 26 to 523 of the family's 1533-position model. The record is from RNAcentral.